Molecule: long non-coding RNA, 517 nt
Organism: Diceros bicornis minor
Lineage: Eukaryota; Metazoa; Chordata; Mammalia; Perissodactyla; Rhinocerotidae
Exons: 3
Source: RefSeq, a predicted model, not a curated record
UCCUCAGAGAAUAACAUUUAUGCUGGCAUCCAUUGUCCGUGAUAACUGAAAGACUUGGUGUGGUGCCUCCAGUCGCCGAUACCAGAUGUCUCCUGUGCCUCCCACUAUGCCAACCUCCGAUGACCCAGCCUAACACACCAUCGUCACCACCGCCACCUCUCAGCCUUCCAGGGUGCUCGCUGUCUUCCGGAUUCUGGGAUAUGCUGCUGUCUUCUAGUGAAAUGUGAAGAGAAAGAAUUUAUUCUCAGUAGUUACAGCCACAUCACUAAACUGGAAUCACCUUGCAGGUGUAGAGAAACUGUUCUUAGUUUCUCUAGAACUAUCUAUAUAGGAUUUAUGUCUUAAAACAAUCUCUGGGAGCUAAUGGGACCAUGGAAAGAACGUUUAACACCUUACAGUCAAGAAACGUGUUUCAAACACACUGUUGAAACUUUAUUAUUAUCUUUUAUAUAAAGAUAAAUUAUUAUCUUUUAAAUAAUUUACUUUCUUUGACAGCAGAGUAUAAUAAAAAGGAAAA